ACUGAAUAGAUACCCGGGUAGUCCUAGCCGUAAACGGUGCACGUUUGCUGUAAAAGGAAUCGACCCCUUUUGUGGCGAAAGCUAAACGCGUUAAAAACGUGCCGCCUGGGAAGUACGGUCGCAAGAUUAAAACUCAAAGAAAUUGACGGGGGCCUGCACAAGCGGUGGAGUAUGUGGCUCAAUUCGAUGCAACGCGAAGAACCUUACCUGGCCUUGACAUGCAUAUAGUAGAAGGGUGAAAGCCUGACGAGGUAGCAAUACCAGUAUGCACAGGUGCUGCAUGGCUGUCGUCAGCUCGUGUCGUGAGAUGUUGGGUUAAAGUCCCGCAACGAGCGCAACCCCGUGUGUCCUGUUGCCACCCGGGUCCGAGAGGCUGGAGCACUCUGGACAGACUGCCUCGCUUAAACCGAGGAGGAAGGUGGGGAUGACGUCAAGUCAGUAUGGCCCUUACGGCCAGGGCUGCACACGUACUACAAUGGCUGGCACAAGGGUAAGCGAGACCGUAAGGUGGAGCAAAU
Molecule: ribosomal RNA, 518 nt
Filed under: uncultured bacterium
Lineage: Bacteria
Description: bacterial SSU rRNA
Rfam family: Bacterial small subunit ribosomal RNA
Source: RNAcentral